This 468-nucleotide ribosomal RNA is filed under the name uncultured bacterium. Its description in RNAcentral is "partial 16S ribosomal RNA". It matches the Rfam family "Bacterial small subunit ribosomal RNA", at positions 28 to 507 of the family's 1533-position model. The record is from RNAcentral.
GACGAACGCUGGCGGCGUGCUUAACACAUGCAAGUCGAACGAAGAGGCGCUGCUUUUGUUCGGUGCUCGAGUGGCGAACGGGGGAGUAAAACAUGUGUAUCCUGCCCCUGACAUAGGGGUAAAACCAGGGAAAAGGGGAUAAUACAGGGUAGAAGAUACUGCUCCACAGGGGGGAAUGGAAAGAUUCGGCGGUGGGGGAUGGACUCGCGGCUUAUCAGCUUGUUGGUGGGGUAGUGGAUGACAAAGGCUUUGACGGGUAGCCGGCCUGGGAGGGUGGCCGGCCACCUUGGGACUGCGAUACGGCCCAGUCUCCUACGUGCGGCAGCAGUGGGGAAUAUUGCGCAGUGGGCGGACGCCUGAUGCAGCAGCGCCGCGUUCGGGAUGACGGCUUUCGGGUUGUAAACCGCUUUCGCCUGUGCCGAAGCGUGAUUGACGGUAAUGGGUAAGGAAGCACCGGCUAACUACGUG